AGCGAACGCUGGCGGCAGGCUUAACACAUGCAAGUCGAGCGGGCAUCUUCGGAUGUCAGCGGCAGACGGGUGAGUAACACGUGGGAACGUACCCCUCGGUUCGGAACAACUCUGGGAAACUGGAGCUAAUACCGGAUACGCCCUUAUGGGGAAAGGUUUACUGCCGAAGGAUCGGCCCGCGUCUGAUUAGCUAGUUGGUGGGGUAACGGCCUACCAAGGCGACGAUCAGUAGCUGGUCUGAGAGGAUGAUCAGCCACACUGGGACUGAGACACGGCCCAGACUCCUACGGGAGGCAGCAGUGGGGAAUAUUGGACAAUGGGCGCAAGCCUGAUCCAGCCAUGCCGCGUGAGUGAUGAAGGCCUUAGGGUUGUAAAGCUCUUUUGUCCGGGACGAUAAUGACGGUACCGGAAGAAUAAGCCCCGGCUAACUUCGUG
RNAcentral lists this ribosomal RNA (435 nucleotides) under uncultured bacterium. RNAcentral's name for it is "partial 16S ribosomal RNA". It matches the Rfam family "Bacterial small subunit ribosomal RNA", at positions 29 to 507 of the family's 1533-position model. The record is from RNAcentral.